This 646-nucleotide ribosomal RNA is filed under the name Streptomyces sp. PC5031. RNAcentral describes it as "bacterial SSU rRNA". It matches the Rfam family "Bacterial small subunit ribosomal RNA", at positions 92 to 751 of the family's 1533-position model. Lineage: Bacteria; Bacillati; Actinomycetota; Actinomycetes; Kitasatosporales; Streptomycetaceae. The record is from RNAcentral.
UUAGUGGCGAACGGGUGAGUAACACGUGGGCAAUCUGCCCUGCACUCUGGGACAAGCCCUGGAAACGGGGUCUAAUACCGGAUACGACUCGCGCCCGCAUGUGCUCUGGGUGGAAAGCUCCGGCGGUGCAGGAUGAGCCCGCGGCCUAUCAGCUUGUUGGUGAGGUAACGGCUCACCAAGGCGACGACGGGUAGCCGGCCUGAGAGGGCGACCGGCCACACUGGGACUGAGACACGGCCCAGACUCCUACGGGAGGCAGCAGUGGGGAAUAUUGCACAAUGGGCGCAAGCCUGAUGCAGCGACGCCGCGUGAGGGAUGACGGCCUUCGGGUUGUAAACCUCUUUCAGCAGGGAAGAAGCGAGAGUGACGGUACCUGCAGAAGAAGCGCCGGCUAACUACGUGCCAGCAGCCGCGGUAAUACGUAGGGCGCAAGCGUUGUCCGGAAUUAUUGGGCGUAAAGAGCUCGUAGGCGGCUUGUCGCGUCGGUUGUGAAAGCCCGGGGCUUAACCCCGGGUCUGCAGUCGAUACGGGCAGGCUAGAGUUCGGUAGGGGAGAUCGGAAUUCCUGGUGUAGCGGUGAAAUGCGCAGAUAUCAGGAGGAACACCGGUGGCGAAGGCGGAUCUCUGGGCCGAUACUGACGCUGAGG